RNAcentral lists this long non-coding RNA (1384 nucleotides) under Homo sapiens (human). Its description in RNAcentral is "novel transcript". Lineage: Eukaryota; Metazoa; Chordata; Mammalia; Primates; Hominidae. The record is from RNAcentral.
GCCCACGUCAUGGCGCCUGAGGAGAACGCGGGUACCAAACUCUUGCUGCAGAGUUUCGAGCGCCGCUUCCUAGCGGCGCGCACACUGCGCUCCUUCCCCUGGCAGGUGCACCCUGCGACAUCUGAAGGUCAGGCUUUCAGCCGCUGUGGCUUCCACUUCCAACUGGCUCCGCGUCCCCAGGGAGGGAUCACAUAGCGCUUUGCCAACACAUUCUAUUGCGUGUUUUAAUGUUCCUGUGAAUGCGCCCUUGAGAUUUCUCUCUCUCCCGUCCACACGGAGCUUAGAAGCAAAAUUAAGAGACUCAUCAGAUUCUGAGCUGCUGCGGGAUAUUUUGCAGAAGCACGAGGCUGUCCACACGGAGCUUUUGGACGAGCUGUACGAGGCGCUGGCAGAGACCCUGAUGGCCAAGGAGUCCACCCAGGGCCACUGGAGCUAUUUGCUGCCCUCGGAAGGCUCGGUCACACUCUCCGAGCACAGCCAUCAUCUCCCACGGUACCACAGGCCUGGUCACAUGGGACGCUGCCCGCUACCUUGCAGAAUGGGCCAUCAAGAACCUGGCAGCCUUCACUAACAGGACUGUCCUAGAGCUUGGCAGUGGCGCCGGCCUUACAGGCCUGUCCAUCUGCAAGAUGUGCCACCCCCGGACAUACAUCUUCAGCGACUGUCACAGCCGGGUCCUCGAGCAGCUCCGAGGGAAUGUCCUUCUCAAUGGCCUCUCAUUAGAGGCAGACAUCACUGCCAACUUAGAUAGCCCCAGGGUGACAGUGGCCCAGCUGGACUGGGAUGUAGCGACGGUCCAUCAGCUCUCUGCCUUCCAGCCAGAUGUUGUCAUUACAGCAGACGUGCUGUAUUGCCCAGAAGCCAUCGUGUCCCUGGUCGGGGUCCUGCGGAGGCUGGCUGCCUGCUGGGAGCACCAGCGGGCUCCUGAGGUCUACAUGGCCUUUACCGUCCGCAACCCAGAGACGUGCCAGGUGUUCACCACCGAGCUAGGCUGGGCUGGGAUCAGAUGGGAAGCGGAAGCUCAUCAUGACCAGAAACUGUUUCCCUAUGGAGAGCACUUGGAGAUGGCAAUGCUGAACCUCACACUGUAGGACUCAUACACGACUCCAACGGGAUUGUUAGAAUCAAAUCACUCUCGUGGGAAGAAUUUUUAUAUGGGAAAGCGGAUAAAACUUUCAUUGGACUGGAAUGUUUGGAGAAUGUUAAAUUCCAAAUCAGGAACCACAAUCUGCCCUCUAAUAAGACAUCGGCUAUCUAAGCAUGUGGGUGCCCCCUUUCUGCCAGCAGUUCUGGUUCUUAAGAAAAUCACCAUAAAUCAGACAUGAAAAUUCUGGCUCCAAAAAUAGCAUUUUCUUUGUGCAAAUAAAAACGUGUGUAUCAAGUA